GACGAACGCUGGCGGCGUGCCUAAUACAUGCAAGUUGAGCGCUGAAGGUUGGUACUUGUACCAACUGGAUGAGCAGCGAACGGGUGAGUAACGCGUGGGGAAUCUGCCUUUGAGCGGGGGACAACAUUUGGAAACGAAUGCUAAUACCGCAUAAAAACUUUAAACACAAGGUUUAAGUUUGAAAGAUGCAAUUGCAUCACUCAAAGAUGAUCCCGCGUUGUAUUAGCUAGUUGGUGAGGUAAAGGCUCACCAAGGCGAUGAUACAUAGCCGACCUGAGAGGGUGAUCGGCCACAUUGGGACUGAGACACGGCCCAAACUCCUACGGGAGGCAGCAGUAGGGAAUCUUCGGCAAUAGACGAAAGUCUGACCGAGCAACGCCGCGUGAGUGAAGAAGGUUUUCGGAUCGUAAAACUCUGUUGGUAGAGAAGAACGUUGGUGAGAGUGGAAAGCUCAUCAAGUGACGGUAACUACCCAGAAAGGGACGGCUAACUACGUG
RNAcentral lists this ribosomal RNA (497 nucleotides) under uncultured bacterium. RNAcentral describes it as "partial 16S ribosomal RNA". It matches the Rfam family "Bacterial small subunit ribosomal RNA", at positions 28 to 507 of the family's 1533-position model. The record is from RNAcentral.